UGGGGAAUUUUGGACAAUGGGGGAAACCCUGAUCCAGCCAUCCCGCGUGUGCGAUGAAGGCCUUCGGGUUGUAAAGCACUUUUGGCAGGAAAGAAACGUCGCGGGUUAAUACCCCGCGAAACUGACGGUACCUGCAGAAUAAGCACCGGCUAACUACGUGCCAGCAGCCGCGGUAAUACGUAGGGUGCAAGCGUUAAUCGGAAUUACUGGGCGUAAAGCGUGCGCAGGCGGUUCGGAAAGAAAGAUGUGAAAUCCCAGAGCUUAACUUUGGAACUGCAUUUUUAACUACCGGGCUAGAGUGUGUCAGAGGGAGGUGGAAUUCCGCGUGUAGCAGUGAAAUGCGUAGAUAUGCGGAGGAACACCGAUGGCGAAGGCAGCCUCCUGGGAUAACACUGACGCUCAUGCACGAAAGCGUGGGGAGCAAACAGGAUUAGAUACCCUGGUAGUCCACGCCCUAAACGAUGUCAACUAGCUGUUGGGGCCUUCGGGCCUUGGUAGCGCAGCUAACGCGUGAAGUUGACCGCCUGGGGAGUACGGCCGCAAGGUUAAAACUUAAAGGAAUUGACGGGGUCAU
RNAcentral lists this ribosomal RNA (574 nucleotides) under uncultured bacterium. RNAcentral describes it as "partial 16S ribosomal RNA". It matches the Rfam family "Bacterial small subunit ribosomal RNA", at positions 355 to 922 of the family's 1533-position model. The record is from RNAcentral.